CGAACGCUGGCGGCGUGCUUAACACAUGCAAGUCGAGCGGUAAGGCCCUUCGGGGUACACGAGCGGCGAACGGGUGAGUAACACGUGGGUGAUCUGCCUCGUACUCUGGGAUAAGCCUGGGAAACUGGGUCUAAUACCGGAUAUGACCACGCACUGCAUGGUGUGUGGUGGAAAGAUUUAUCGGUGCGAGAUGGGCCCGCGGCCUAUCAGCUUGUUGGUGGGGUAAUGGCCUACCAAGGCGACGACGGGUAGCCGGCCUGAGAGGGCGACCGGCCACACUGGGACUGAGACACGGCCCAGACUCCUACGGGAGGCAGCAGUGGGGAAUAUUGCACAAUGGGCGAAAGCCUGAUGCAGCGACGCCGCGUGCGGGAUGACGGCCUUCGGGUUGUAAACCGCUUUCGACAGGGACGAAGCGUGAGUGACGGUACCUGUAGAAGAAGCACCGGCCAACUAC
Molecule: ribosomal RNA, 457 nt
Filed under: Nocardiaceae bacterium 'ARUP UnID 487'
Lineage: Bacteria; Bacillati; Actinomycetota; Actinomycetes; Mycobacteriales; Nocardiaceae
Description: bacterial SSU rRNA
Rfam family: Bacterial small subunit ribosomal RNA
Source: RNAcentral